Molecule: ribosomal RNA, 315 nt
Filed under: Triticum aestivum (bread wheat)
Lineage: Eukaryota; Viridiplantae; Streptophyta; Magnoliopsida; Poales; Poaceae
Description: partial small subunit ribosomal RNA
Source: RNAcentral
AUGCGAGAUGGACUGCGGCGAAUGUCACACGGGAAACGUGGGAGAUCUCGGUUUCAACCGGCAUUCUGCGGUUAUAACAAGACGUGGGAUUUUGCGGACUCGGUGAAAUUUGAGACAAACAUGUUGCAUGCUUUCACCUGUUUGUUUUAUUCUGUUUCUCAAGUUGCCAGGAAGUUCUGUUCUGUACAUCCUCUUGAGAGAGCUGCAAAUGAACACUCGUGGUUGCUUAAGCAACUCAUGCGGUGCAUGCACAUGAGAGAAGAAAAAUCCCUUUCACUAAAAAAGAAGAGUGGAAUUAAGAACCUAGUAAUUUAA